This 468-nucleotide ribosomal RNA is filed under the name uncultured bacterium. RNAcentral describes it as "partial 16S ribosomal RNA". It matches the Rfam family "Bacterial small subunit ribosomal RNA", at positions 28 to 507 of the family's 1533-position model. The record is from RNAcentral.
GACGAACGCUGGCGGCGUGCUUAACACAUGCAAGUCGAACGGAAAGGCCCUGCUUUUGUGGGGUGCUCGAGUGGCGAACGGGUGAGUAACACGUGAGUAACCUGCCCUUGACUUUGGGAUAACUUCAGGAAACUGGGGCUAAUACCGGAUAGGAGCUCCUGCUGCAUGGUGGGGGUUGGAAAGUUUCGGCGGUUGGGGAUGGACUCGCGGCUUAUCAGCUUGUUGGUGGGGUAGUGGCUUACCAAGGCUUUGACGGGUAGCCGGCCUGAGAGGGUGACCGGCGACAUUGGGACUGAGAUACGGCCCGGACUCCUACGGGAGGCAGCAGUGGGGAAUAUUGCACAAUGGGCGGAAGCCUGAUGCAGCAACGCCGCGUGCGGGAUGACGGCCUACGGGUUGUAAACCGCUUUCGCCUGUGACGAAGCGUGAGUGACGGUAAUGGGUAAAGAAGCACCGGCUAACUACGUG